Anastrepha ludens (Mexican fruit fly) is the source of this 612-nucleotide long non-coding RNA. RefSeq lists it as uncharacterized. NCBI's taxonomy places the organism in Eukaryota, Metazoa, Arthropoda, Insecta, Diptera, Tephritidae. The transcript is spliced from 2 exons. The record is from RefSeq and is a predicted model, not a curated record.
CUUCUCUGACAUGUGUUUUUCUUCUCCGUACGCCAUUCCACGCUCAUUCAACUCACCUUAUCUAAAAUUCAAUUAGCUCUCACUCAACACACACACAGGUAAAACAAGCACAGUACUCUUCUAUUCUUCAGCUUUCGUUCGUUCGCAAAUGAAGCACUGGCACUAAGCUCCAAAUGGGUGAGCAACAGAUUUCAGUAUGGUGCGAUUUCGUGUUAAGAACGUGUGUGAUUUUAUUAAAGCGCUCUCUCUAGUGGUGGGCUAACAUUUGUUUUUGUUAGUUUAUUUUCCUUCAACUGUACAUUGUAUUUGCUUGUAUACGUCAACGACAUCGUGAUUGAAAGCAAAAAUAAAAAAAAUAACUAAAUAACCGAAACACUUUUUUGUGAGGUGACCUCCCGCACACGCGCUACACCCUUUUACAGCGUUGGCAGCGCGCUAAAAUAUUUGCGCUUUCACUUUCGGUUGGUCGCUGUCGCAUUUGUGAAAAAUUACAUUCGUGUAAAUCAUAAAAAAGAAACCAAAAAUAGACAAAGAACAAAGUGUGUCAAAAAUCAUAGAAGUGUAUAAAAAAACAACAACAACAAAAAUUAUAGAAGUGUACUAAAAAAACAA